GAAGAUGUAGAAAUAUGCGUAGUUUCUGACUUUGUGGCUGUGGUAAUUAGUGACGACACCGGAGGUUGGGGCUAGGACAGGAGGACGCUCUCGCGCCUGCUCAUCAGGUAGAAGAUUUCCAAUUGGGUGUGGUUUACGAUUAUUAUUUUUAGCCUGUUGUUGUUUCUUCAGAAGAGACAGUGGUCGUGAAUCGUUUUUGAAGUUAGGCAUAUCAUAUGGCACUAUUUUAGAGAGAAAAUAUACCUAUACGUGUUACCACCGUCCACACCUGUUUGGAGCUGAACCUCAUCUGAGUUCUAGACUUUGUAAGUCCAGCCUGCCUCAAGUUCUCAAGUGAGAUCUAUACAGGAGUCAGGAUGGCCGAGACAGAGCCAUGGAUCAGGGCUGGAGGUCCAUGGGAAGCCCCUGUCCAUCGCCCCCCUGUCUCCUGGAUCAAACAAUGGCUGUGGCGUCCUCCAACCUCCAGACCCAAGGAUGAAGACAGGGAGAGGCAUCAUGCAGGACAGUUAGAAGACAGCACUACCAGUCCCUCCAGUUGCUGCUCUCGCCAGCGCAUCCUCCUGGCCAUCCUCAUUAUGGUGGCCCUGGCUGUCAUGGCACUGCUGCUACUGUGGAACUACCAUUGCAUCAUGGUGUGGCACCUCUGCCUGGACGAGCACUCUGGCUUCCCUAAGAUGAUUGGGGGGGGUAUAGGACCAGCACUCUCGGGGAGAGACUAGGGCUGCUUGAGCAGGUUUAGGGAGUGAUAAUGCGAGAGGAGAGUGCCAGUUUCACGGCCGAAAGCAUGUUACAUUAAACCUAUCCAAACAUA
This is a long non-coding RNA of Coregonus clupeaformis (lake whitefish), 811 nucleotides long. RefSeq lists it as uncharacterized. The record is from RefSeq and is a predicted model, not a curated record. The transcript is spliced from 2 exons. Lineage: Eukaryota; Metazoa; Chordata; Actinopteri; Salmoniformes; Salmonidae.